RNAcentral lists this ribosomal RNA (921 nucleotides) under Squamanita imbachii. RNAcentral's name for it is "partial large subunit ribosomal RNA". It matches the Rfam family "Eukaryotic large subunit ribosomal RNA", at positions 56 to 956 of the family's 3401-position model. The record is from RNAcentral. Lineage: Eukaryota; Fungi; Basidiomycota; Agaricomycetes; Agaricales; Squamanitaceae.
GAACUAACAAGGAUUCCCCUAGUAACUGCGAGUGAAGCGGGAAAAGCUCAAAUUUGAAAUCUGGCAGCCAUGAGGUUGUCCGAGUUGUAAUCUAGAGAAGUGUCAUCCGCGUUGGACCAUGUACAAGUCUCCUGGAAUGGAGCAUCAUGGAGGGUGACAAUCCCGUCUUUGACAUGGACUACCAAUGCUUUGUGAUGCACUCUCGAAGAGUCGAGUUGUUUGGGAAUGCAGCUCCAAAUGGGUGGUAAAUUCCAUCUAAAGCUAAAUAUUGGCGAGAGACCGAUAGCGAACAAGUACCGUGAGGGAAAGAUGAAAAGGACUUUGGAAAGAGAGUUAAACAGUACGUGAAAUUGCUGAAAGGGAAACGCUUAAAGUCAGUUGCAUUGACUGGGAAUCAGCCCUGCAUCCUGUUGGUAUGCUGGGUGUACUUUCCAGUUGAUGGGUCAGCAUCAGUUUUGAACAUUGGAUAAAGGUAUGAGGAAUGUGGCAUUUAUUUAUAAAUGUGUUAUAGCCUCAUAUUGUAUGCAAUGGUUGGGACUGAGGAACACAGCACGCCGAAAGGCCAGAGAGUUAUCUCAUGUUCGUGCUUAGGAUGGCUGGCAAAAUGGCUUUAAUCGACCCGUCUUGAAACACGGACCAAGGAGUCUAACAUGCCUGCGAGUAUUUGGGUGGAAAACCCAUAUGCGCAAUGAAAGUGAAAGUUGAGAUCCCUGCCAGGAGCAUCGACACCCAGACUUGACGUUUUCUGACAGUUCUGCGGUAGAGCAUGUAUGUUGGGACCCGAAAGAUGGUGAACUAUGCCUGAAUAGGGUGAAGCCAGAGGAAACUCUGGUGGAGGCUCGUAGCGAUUCUGACGUGCAAAUCGAUCGUCAAAUUUGGGUAUAGGGGCGAAAGACUAAUCGAACCAUCUAGUAGCUGGUC